ACCUGUCCCAGUAAAGCUGCUUUCUCUCCUUUUUUACUUUUUUUCUCUCUGCACUGCUCUUUUAGUAGCUUCCCUUUCCUCUCUACUCUUGUGAGAGUUGAGCAUACUCUGUUCUGUCAAAUCUUUCUCUGAUUCAGCACUUUGCCACUCAAUUGGACACCGCUUUCAAACAUGGGUGCUUCCUUUUACAAACUCUACCUUCAUUUUUGGAAUUACAGGAGUGUACUGAGGGCCUGUCUGUAUUCCAGCCAGAAGAAUUAAGGUGUGUGCUAAGGGCCAAGACACACAACUAGAAACAGAGCUUUUCAGUAAAUACCAAGAGCCGGCGUGGUGGCGCACGCCUUUAAUCCCAACACUUGGGAGGCAGAGGCAGGCGGAUUUCUGAGUUCGAGGUCAGCCUGGUCUACAAAGUGAGUUCCAGGAUAGCCAGGGCUAUACAGAGAAACCCUCUCUCGAAAAACCAAAAAAAAAAAAAAAAAAAAAAAAGGUAAAUAACAAGAUCCUGGGUUUGCAGUGUGAUAAAUAUUCUGCAACAGUUGAACUGUGGAAAGAAGUCCUCUAGGGAAAGGACACAGUGGUAUAAAGAUAUAGAACAAUGUGAGGUGAAGUGGCGCACACCCUUGGUCCCAGAACUGAGGAGGCAGAGGCAAGUGAACUCUAGGUUUGCACACUGCCUUGUGUACAGAUUGACCUCCUGCAUGGCCAGGGCUACAUGGAGAGCCCUGUCUCAAUGCUCUCACCCAUAUGCUCCCUAAAACCCAAAGAAGAACAUAUCAGAGGUCCUUACCUAGUGGGACGACAUUGUGCCUAGGGGACAUUACUUUGGCCAAAAUAACAGUUAAAUAAUGGUAGAGUAUUGAGCAGACAGUCUGCACUUUUCAGAGUUGCUGACCGGGAGAGAACAAGUGUGCUCAUAGAGCUACUCAUGUGAUCUGCGUAGGCUGCUGGGGGUUGGAGAAGAACCAUGAACAGAAUAACACUGGUUCAGUGGUACAGGACUGGCAUGCAAGACCUCUGCAGAACUGUUAGCAAGUGUGUUCAUUGUCCUGAUCAGCAAGGAGCACCCAAAGGUGGUUAAGCACAGCAGGAGCACGGUUAGAUUGCUGUUCUGAAGACAGCUCAGGGUGGGUGGGAUAGCUUAGCCAGUAGCUGAUGCCAAACCUGACAAGCUGACUGAGGUUGACACACAUAGUAGAAGGAGAAAAUAAAUUCCCCCAAGUUUUCUUCUGACCUCCAUCUGUACAAACACAAUAAACAAAUACAAAUACAUAUAAUACAUAAAUAAUAUAUAUUAUAAAUAUUUUUAUAUUUUAUAUUGUAUAUAUAAUAUAUAUGUAUUCUAAGGACAGCUCAGGUUUUGUUAUAAAGGAAAUUUCAAAUCAAUGAGUGGACAUUUGAAUAGGUUUGCAUAAAAUACAACAGCUUUCCCACGGAAAUCCCUCAGAGCUAGACUUUGUCUUUUGCUAAAUUCAUGACUCCUUAUUUGUCUUGCACAGUUUUCUUAUGCUUGUUUUGAGAUAGGAUCUCACGUUGGUUCCUGAUUCAGCCUUGCAGCUGCUGAGACGAGAUGUGUAUGCCAGUGUUGGAUGAUCUUUGCUGUCUAGCUCCUGGCUACUAGCAUCUGCAAUGUGAAUUUGAUUAGCCUCUGCUUUAGAAUUUUAGUGAUCUCUCCAGUUGCUAUGGGAGAGAGUUCAAGUAUCUUAAACAUAUAAACUGUUUCUUGGUUCUCUAAAACCUCACAUUCUGAUCUUGCUUUCACACAUUUUAAACUAUGAACAUUUCAUAUCUGGACUCAUUUAAAUAUGUGAACUCAUAGUAGACUUGGUACAGAGUAGAUCUGGUGAGAUGGUAUCAGAAAAUGUCUACAAACAGAAUCUUCAGAAUUUUGGAAUUUUGGAAAUAGUAAAUAAUAAAGGUGGCUAGAAAGGUACCAGUUUAAAUCAAAAUAAGGAAUUUGGGCAAAAUUCACUAGAUGUUGGCAGGUUAUGGGAAGGUUUUGAGCAAGAAUUGCUACAGGCAGUACUUCUGUGAAAGAAUUAGAAUUGUUUGUAGCAUGUAUUUAGCAAACUAGGUAGCAACAGUAGGGCCUAAAGCACAUUGAAACAGCAGUAAAUGAGGGCAAAUGGACAGAUGGAUGUUACAGAGGUGAUGUCAGUAGUCUAGAGUGUGAGUGUUAUUCAUAAAAAUAAAGAUGUCAGGUGAUCAGAUGCUGAUAGGUAAUAUUCUGGACUUCAUGAAUAUGUAGUUUCAGAGGAAUGUAUUUGUUUUAUUUUUUUGUCGUAUUACUGACUAUUGCUUUAUAUCUUUGUAUAAGUAGUUCUUAACUCUCCAGUACCCUGAAGGCAACAGGCAUUCUGUCACCCUUACCAGUCUUUUCCCUCUUGUAUCCUAUGUUCCUCCUCCCUCCAUCAGCAGUUAGUCCAAGGAGAAAGUCUAUGCUAGAGUAAUUAAGUCAAGGUAAGAUAAUAUCUGAAUUCAUAGCCUUUGGAAAUUAUUCAUACAUUUGUGUAAGUGCCCAAAGGCAUUUAUAGUUUGUUACUGACCUUGUAAUAGAUAGAACUUUUCCAUGGGAGAUGAGAAUACCUAGGCCAUGAGUGAGACCAAUAGAGUCAUCAUAAAAAUAAACUAUGGGGCUAGAGAGAUGGCUCAGUGGUUAAGAGCACUAACUGCUCUUCUAGAGGUCCUGAGUUCAAAUUCCAGCAACCACAUGGUGGCUUACAACCAUCUGUAAUGAGAUCUGACACUCUCUUCUGGAGUGUCUGAAGAUAACUACAGUGUACUUACAUAUAAUAAAUAAAUAAAUCUUAAAAAACCCAAAACUAUGAACUUAAAAUUUCUGGCUCCUGUAGUCUUUUUUUGGGGUGGGGUCAGGGAAGGUUGCCUUGUUUUGUAGUAAGUAUUUGUGUUCAUUAGUAUAUAUUGAGUAUAUGAAACUCAGUCCUACCUUCAAGUCAUCUGUUGUCUAACUGGUAUCUGUUGGUUACAGUGCUGUUAUUUAAAUUAUUUAAAAAUUAGAUGGGCAGUGGUGGCACAUACCUUUAAUCCUGACAUUCAGGAGACAGAGUCAGGAGAAUCUCAAAUUCCAGGACAGCCUGGUCUACAGAAUGAGUUCUAGAACAGCCAGGGCUACAUAGAAAAAUCCUGUCUUAACCCCAAACCCC
RNAcentral lists this long non-coding RNA (3161 nucleotides) under Mus musculus (house mouse). RNAcentral's name for it is "long non-coding RNA chr4:32617499-32620660". The record is from RNAcentral. Lineage: Eukaryota; Metazoa; Chordata; Mammalia; Rodentia; Muridae.